This 432-nucleotide ribosomal RNA is filed under the name uncultured bacterium. Its description in RNAcentral is "partial 16S ribosomal RNA". It matches the Rfam family "Bacterial small subunit ribosomal RNA", at positions 29 to 506 of the family's 1533-position model. The record is from RNAcentral.
AACGAACGCUGGCGGCAUGCCUAACACAUGCAAGUCGAACGAGACCUUCGGGUCCAGUGGCGCACGGGUGCGUAACGCGUGGGAACCUGCCCUUAGGUUCGGAAUAACUCCCCGAAAGGGGUGCUAAUACCGGAUAAUGUCUUCGGACCAAAGAUUUAUCGCCUUUGGAUGGGCCCGCGUUGGAUUAGCUAGUUGGUAGGGUAAAAGCCUACCAAGGCGACGAUCCAUAGCUGGUCUGAGAGGAUGAUCAGCCACACUGGGACUGAGACACGGCCCAGACUCCUACGGGAGGCAGCAGUGGGGAAUAUUGGACAAUGGGCGAAAGCCUGAUCCAGCACUGCCGCGUGAGUGAUGAAGGCCUUAGGGUUGUAAAGCUCUUUUACCCGGGAUGAUAAUGACAGUACCGGGAGAAUAAGCUCCGGCUAACUCCGU